This 82-nucleotide transfer RNA is filed under the name Medicago truncatula (barrel medic). It matches the Rfam family "tRNA". From Rfam's summary of the family: Transfer RNA (tRNA) molecules are approximately 80 nucleotides in length. Their secondary structure includes four short double-helical elements and three loops (D, anti-codon, and T loops). The record is from Rfam by way of RNAcentral. Lineage: Eukaryota; Viridiplantae; Streptophyta; Magnoliopsida; Fabales; Fabaceae.
GUGGACAGGUGGGAGUGGUUAUUAGGCAUGACUAGAAAUCAUGUGGGCUCUGUCUGCGCAGGUUCGAAUCCUGCUGUUCACG